GCUUAAUUAUAUGCGAUGAAAAGGUUCAAGUUUGGGGUUGCAUGGGGGAAAUUGAAAGGCAAAUGGAAAGCAUUGAGCUCAAAUGUUGUGAAAAGAAAAAUUCAUGAGAAAAAGAAAAGAAAAGAAGAAAAGCAUGAAGAUGAGCUCAAUGAAAAAGAAAAGGGAAAAGUUGGGAAUGAGAGAAAUUGGUAAGGAAGAGAGUUGUGCUUAAUUGUUGAAUAUUUUGAUAGCUCUCUUGACUCAAGGAUUUUGCAUUCCAGAAAAACCAAUUCUUCUUAUUAGCCCAACCUCAUUACAAGCCUUGAAAAGUCCUUUUGAUGGCAUUUGCAUGUAAAGAUGUUGAUUGUUUGAGAUGAAUGGCAAUUUUGUUUCAUGUUACUUGUGAAUAUUAGAGAGUUUGAGUGUCACCUUAAACACUUGAGUGAUUGAGUGAAAUACUUGCUUGGUAUGAACUGUUAAUUUUC
RNAcentral lists this long non-coding RNA (464 nucleotides) under Vigna radiata. Its description in RNAcentral is "long non-coding RNA (VRAD_LNC009984)". Lineage: Eukaryota; Viridiplantae; Streptophyta; Magnoliopsida; Fabales; Fabaceae. The record is from RNAcentral.